AUGAAGUUAGCCCCUCAAAAAAAAUUUUUUUUCCUGUUUUCUACUUAUUUUCUAUUAAUUCGUUUGUUCAUCAUUUGUUCUUGAUUGUUCAUUGUUAAUAAUUGUUUGUUCCCCAUUUAUUUAUUUUAAAAAAAAUAUUAAAAAUAUAUCUAAAAGUUAGCCCCUCGAUUGCAAUUUUUAAUAUUUUUUCGUCCUUAAUUACUUGUAAAUAUUCAUUUUCGAUUGUUCUUAUAUAAAAUACGUUUGUUCUCUUUCGAAAUUACUCAUUUUUUGUUUAAUUAAUUGUAUUAGUUGAAUAAAUGUAUACAAAAUAUGUGUACUGCGCAUGCCAUAAGUGUAUAAUCUAUGGCGCAUGCGUCAACUAUAAUGCCUAAACUUUCUACGCGGUUUUAAUCGUGAAAAAAAAACAAUUAUAAAUCCUGAAGGAUCAAUUAAUUGGUAUACAGUUUAAUUAAAAAAAUUAAAAACAAAAUAAAUAAAAUAAUGUGCAUUCGCGUAAAGUUAGACCAAAUACAUUUUUUCCAUCCUCCUAUAUACCUAUCGCUAUGAAGGUAUAAAAAAGAUAGGUUAAGAGUUCACAUAGGUAAUAUAAACAAAUAAGUAAAUAUGUUCAUUAUUUAUCUUUCAAGAGAUAAUGUAGGUAUACAUUAUAAUAACAUUUUGACACAGUCGAAAUUAUAUUCCUAACAUUAGUAAAAUAACAUUUUAAUAUUUUUUUUAUAGGUUAUGUAUUGAAAUUGUUGGAAAAUUAUUUCAUGUUUUAGCUGGAAAACUACAUGGAGAAUUAUAUGCAAUACAAGAUAAUGAGCUCCAUUAAAUGAAUUCGAAUGAAACCAAACUGUUUACCAUCCAAAUUCGAUUGUCGGGCAGAUAGAAAACGAAAAUUCACUCAUAGUGAACCUCGGCCUGCAUUUGUGAAACGGCAAAGACUCACUAUUAUCAAGGAAAUUGAAGAGACAACUAAAAAUGAGAUGUGUCGUAUUAUUAUACCUUUGCCAUCUUGUAGUCAAGAUGUCCAGCCACUUGAAAAUAGGUGUAGUAAUGACAAAGCUAUCCAAGUAGCUCCAGCACAGGAACACAAAGGCAAGGCAAGUGUGUAUUGCCACAUCACCCCUUAAUAUAUCUGAAGCAAGUAUAAGUAAACAAUCAGAACCAGCAAAAAAAAAACUGUUGUUCCUGAGGACAAAUUUGACAGUGAUGAGUCAAAUGCACCAGCAACAGAAGGAUCAACUGUUGACUAUGAGUUAUCUCUCUAUAUCUCCACUCCAUCAAAGACUUGUGCACUUCAGACUAUAGCUCUCAAGAAGACUAAAAAGUUGAAAAAAUGAAUGUGUUAACAACUUUAUCUAAAGUGAAAAAUAAACAACGUUUAUAUAUUGGUCUUCCACAAGAAUUAUGUUUCAUAAUAGGCUUGAUUGAGAAACAUACAAAUGUUUCUGAACAAAAUAUUAUAUUAUGUCUGAUGAGAAUAACAUUAAAUAGAACAUUCUCUCAAUUGGCUGAUGAUUUCGAUUUAUCUGUAAGUCAAGCAAGCAAUAUAUUUUUCAACAAACUCCCAGAAAUUGCAAAUGUAAUAUCACCCCUUGUUAGACUAUAAAAAAAACAAUACAAUAAAUAUAUAUGCAGGAAGGAUAAUUGAUGUCAACUUGGUGGAAAAUAGAAAGUUUUUAGAUAGUUUGCCACCUACAAAACUCUUUAAUUAAAUAAGUAAUCCUUACUUAUAAAUAGGAAGUUUUGUAAGUAUUUUCACUCUUCAUUCAAAAACUACUGAACAGAUUUUAAUAAGACUUUUAUGCUGGUCUUCUAUGGCUAGCAACUCAUUAUUAUUUUGAUUCUGUUUUCCACAAAUGUGCUAAAUAUGGGCUUAUAUAUAUGAAAAGGAAUAAAUAUUAAUGUUAUGUAACCUUUGUACCUGUAUGUUAAGAAUAAUUUUUAAUAAAACAUAAUUUAAAUUGAAA
Long non-coding RNA from Bombyx mori (domestic silkworm), 1958 nucleotides. RefSeq lists it as uncharacterized. The transcript is spliced from 2 exons. NCBI's taxonomy places the organism in Eukaryota, Metazoa, Arthropoda, Insecta, Lepidoptera, Bombycidae. The record is from RefSeq and is a predicted model, not a curated record.